RNAcentral lists this ribosomal RNA (516 nucleotides) under Aspergillus amstelodami. Its description in RNAcentral is "eukaryotic LSU rRNA". The stretch from base 156 to 309 matches the Rfam family "5.8S ribosomal RNA". Lineage: Eukaryota; Fungi; Ascomycota; Eurotiomycetes; Eurotiales; Aspergillaceae. The record is from RNAcentral.
GAAGGAUCAUUACCGAGUGCGGGCCCUCUGGGUCCAACCUCCCAUCCGUGUCUAUCUGUACCCUGUUGCUUCGGCGUGGCCACGGCCCGCCGGAGACUAACAUUUGAACGCUGUCUGAAGUUUGCAGUCUGAGUUUUUAGUUAAACAAUCGUUAAAACUUUCAACAACGGAUCUCUUGGUUCCGGCAUCGAUGAAGAACGCAGCGAAAUGCGAUAAUUAAUGUGAAUUGCAGAAUUCAGUGAAUCAUCGAGUCUUUGAACGCACAUUGCGCCCCCUGGCAUUCCGGGGGGCAUGCCUGUCCGAGCGUCAUUGCUGCCCUCAAGCACGGCUUGUGUGUUGGGCUUCCGUCCCUGGCAACGGGGACGGGCCCAAAAGGCAGUGGCGGCACCAUGUCUGGUCCUCGAGCGUAUGGGGCUUUGUCACCCGCUCCCGUAGGUCCAGCUGGCAGCUAGCCUCGCAACCAAUCUUUUUAACCAGGUUGACCUCGGAUCAGGUAGGGAUACCCGCUGAACUUAA